Molecule: long non-coding RNA, 475 nt
Filed under: Bos taurus (domestic cattle)
Lineage: Eukaryota; Metazoa; Chordata; Mammalia; Artiodactyla; Bovidae
Description: long non-coding RNA NONBTAT011337
Source: RNAcentral
GAGAUAAGAUUUCAGAUUUCAGGCAGACAAUACUCGUUGACACUCUGAAAAACAUUCUCCCAAAGAAAGAAUCACUCUUUUGGUGGACAGCCCGGUUCUUAUCCUUAUACUGACAAUCAUGACAGUAUUUCAUUUAUAGUAUUCAUGACUGUAUUUCAUUCCUUGAACUUUUGACUCUUGACAAGCCCUUCCCAGCUCCAGGUGUGAGCGGCACAAGUUAGCUCUCAAACAUAAAGCAGGUGAAAGUGUUUCGUUGUGGCUCGCCAAAUCUCUACAAAGAUUGCAACUACCAAGCGUUAGUCUCCCUUCCUAAAAAUAACACCUCUUCACUCAGACACAGGGCUGAAACAACAGGCCAAAGGAAAACAUUUUCUUAUCAGGAAAAUCUUAGUUCCUUUAUAUAUGAGAUUUCUACAUGGAUAACUUUAAAAGGCAGAGGGUGAAUUUUUAAAUGUUUGAAAUAUUAUUUUGGGGA